This is a long non-coding RNA of Lolium rigidum, 663 nucleotides long. RefSeq lists it as uncharacterized. The transcript has 3 exons. Lineage: Eukaryota; Viridiplantae; Streptophyta; Magnoliopsida; Poales; Poaceae. The record is from RefSeq and is a predicted model, not a curated record.
UUCUAUCAAUGUUGCAAGAGCAAGGAGCACACUCUGAGGCGAGAUACUAGAAAGGUUUAUCAUGGAGAGGAUCUAGUUGGGUUCUACCAUGGAUGCGCCACAAAUUUGUUGUGGACAACUUCUGCUUAUAACAUUCUCCAGCUUCGAGUUGAUUCACAGGGUGUUCUGGGGCACGGAGUGGGUGACGUCGCGGCUCGGCAGUGAUGAGCAUACCAACCAACUUGGCCAAGCACCAAGUCCCAUCAUAGCCAAGAUGAUGGCAAAGGUCAACGGCGGGUCUUAGUGAACGUCAUGAGCUCACCGUGCUGCAACGGUGGUGGCGGUGACGCUCAUCCUCGUGGACGACCUCUUCGUGAACUAGGUAUCCUGGUGUAGUUGAGAAACAGUGCUGGCAGCGGGAGGCGCAACGGCCUCUCCUCAGAAGAUGGACGCGCGUGGGUGGACCCGCGCCUGAGGGCCGCCAUGGUUGCGUUCGUCCUUGUGGCGAGCGAGCCAAGGACAGGGGAGGGUGGAGAUCACCCGUCGUCCUGGUGGCUGUUGGGGACAAGCACCUUGGGCGACAGCUGUGAACGGCGAGAGGAGCUCCCCACCCUGCAGGAAGAAGAGAUGGUGGUCGCCUGUCCAGAACUGUUGUUGCCGGCGCCGGUGACGUCCCCAAGCUGU